UGACUUUCGCAGGUGCCUGUGAAGAAACUGCUGCAGCUCAAACCAGCAGCGAUGCAUCAACUUCUUCUGCUUCUUCGGAGCACGCCGAGAACGAGCUGUCACGAGCAAAACGAGGCAGUUACAGAAUGAUGAGACUUGGCAGAGGUUUGCACAUGCUCAGACUGGGGAAAAGGGGAGGGCCCGUCGAGCCUGAGAGCGAGGAAAACCUGGAAACCCUUUUGAACUUAUUGCAAGGUUACUACAGUGAUGUACCGGAGUAUCCAUCUGAAUUCGACGACACUGAUUUGGCCUACCCAUACGAAGAAUACGACGCCCCCGCCCACCCGAGAUACCGGAGAUCUACACCUCCUACAGACGGCGUGGUGGCACCAGACGUGCUCCAGAAGGGAAGUUCUGAAUUCGAAGACUUUGGUGAUUCCCAGUUGGACGAAAGUGAUGAAGGUUACUAUGGUUACGACCCUGAAAACUAUUUGUAUGGCGAUUUUGAAGAUUACUUGGAACCAGAAGAAGGAGGACUUGGAGAAGAGAAAAGAAGUCUGUCUAUGCUGCGAUUGGGAAAACGAGGACUGUCUAUGCUGAGACUGGGAAAGAGAGAGGGGGAAGAAGGGGAUGAAAUGGACAAGAAACAAGACGAAAGCUUGAACGACGCUUUCGAAAAUGAUGAUAUCAAGAGAACCCUCUCAAUGCUUCGUCUCGGCAAACGACCAAUGAGCAUGCUUAGAUUAGGAAAACGGCCAAUGAGCAUGCUGCGUCUUGGAAAGCGACCAAUGAGUAUGUUGCGUCUCGGAAAGCGACCAAUGAGUAUGCUCCGACUUGGAAAGCGACCAAUGAGCAUGCUUCGGCUCGGAAAACGACCAAUGAGCAUGCUGAGACUGGGAAAGCGGCCAAUGAGCAUGUUGCGCCUUGGAAAACGACCAAUGAGCAUGCUGCGUUUGGGGAAACGACCAAUGAGCAUGCUCCGUCUGGGAAAGCGGCCAAUGAGUAUGUUGCGCCUAGGCAAACGUGAUGACGAUGAAAAGGAAAAGAAAUCUUUGAACAUGUUACGGCUCGGCAAACGGUCGACACAGUAAUUUCUUAGCAAGUAAUAAAGUAUAAUACAAGAU
RNAcentral lists this small RNA (1103 nucleotides) under Aplysia californica (California sea hare). Its description in RNAcentral is "myomodulin". The record is from RNAcentral. Lineage: Eukaryota; Metazoa; Mollusca; Gastropoda; Aplysiida; Aplysiidae.